Molecule: ribosomal RNA, 465 nt
Filed under: uncultured bacterium
Lineage: Bacteria
Description: partial 16S ribosomal RNA
Rfam family: Bacterial small subunit ribosomal RNA
Source: RNAcentral
CCUACGGGUGGCUGCAGUGGGGAAUAUUGCGCAAUGGGCGAAAGCCUGACGCAGCGACGCCGCGUGAGGGAUGAAGGUCUUCGGAUCGUAAACCUCUGUCAGCAGGGAAGAACGGUCACUGUGCUAAUCAGCAGUGAAUUGACGGUACCUGCAAAGGAAGCACCGGCUAACUCCGUGCCAGCAGCCGCGGUAAUCCGGAGGGUGCGAGCGUUAAUCGGAUUUACUGGGCGUAAAGCGCUCGUAGGCGGUAUGUCAAGUCAAGGGUGAAAUCCCCGCGCUCAACGUGGGAACUGCCUUUGAAACUGGCAAACUGGAGUGUGUGAGAGGAUAGUGGAAUUCCAGGUGUAGGAGUGAAAUGCGUAGAUAUCUGGAAGAACAUCAGUGGCGAAGGCGACUAUCUGGCACAUAACUGACGCUGAGGAGCGAAAGCGUGGGUAGCAAACAGGAUUAGAUACCCCAGUAGUC